RNAcentral lists this transfer RNA (72 nucleotides) under Bos taurus (domestic cattle). It matches the Rfam family "tRNA". Rfam says of the family: Transfer RNA (tRNA) molecules are approximately 80 nucleotides in length. Their secondary structure includes four short double-helical elements and three loops (D, anti-codon, and T loops). RNAcentral also lists the same sequence under 2 other names. The record is from Rfam by way of RNAcentral. Lineage: Eukaryota; Metazoa; Chordata; Mammalia; Artiodactyla; Bovidae.
UCCCUUAUGGCUCGGACGGUAAAGCGUCUGCCUACAAUCCAGGAGACCCAGGUUCAAUCCCUGGGUCGGGAA